Molecule: non-coding RNA, 90 nt
Organism: Ricinus communis (castor bean)
Lineage: Eukaryota; Viridiplantae; Streptophyta; Magnoliopsida; Malpighiales; Euphorbiaceae
Source: Rfam
GUCUCUAAUGAUGAUGUUUAAUUUGUAAAACUUUCGUUCUUCUGAGAAAUUACAUUGCGGAAUUAUAAUGGAGACCUGAACUGAAGAGAC